Molecule: ribosomal RNA, 111 nt
Filed under: Bacillus licheniformis
Lineage: Bacteria; Bacillati; Bacillota; Bacilli; Caryophanales; Bacillaceae
Also listed under: 3 other names
Source: RNAcentral
UGGCGAUAGCGAAGAGGUCACACCCGUUCCCAUGCCGAACACGGAAGUUAAGCUCUUCAGCGCCGAUGGUAGUUGGGGGCUUCCCCCUGUGAGAGUAGGACGCCGCCAAGC